Molecule: ribosomal RNA, 464 nt
Filed under: uncultured bacterium
Lineage: Bacteria
Description: partial 16S ribosomal RNA
Rfam family: Bacterial small subunit ribosomal RNA
Source: RNAcentral
CUACGGGGGGCUGCAGUGGGGAAUAUUGCACAAUGGGCGCAAGCCUGAUGCAGCCAUGCCGCGUGUAUGAAGAAGGCCUUCGGGUUGUAAAGUACUUUCAGCGGGGAGGAAGGGAGUAAAGUUAAUACCUUUGCUCAUUGACGUUACCCGCAGAAGAAGCACCGGCUAACUCCGUGCCAGCAGCCGCGGUAAUACGGAGGGUGCAAGCGUUAAUCGGAAUUACUGGGCGUAAAGCGCACGCAGGCGGUUUGUUAAGUCAGAUGUGAAAUCCCCGGGCUCAACCUGGGAACUGCAUCUGAUACUGGCACGCUUGAGUCUCGUAGAGGGGGGUAGAAUUCCAGGUGUAGCGGUGAUAUGCGUAGAGACCUGGAGGAAUACCGGUGGCGAAGGCGGCCCCCUGGACGAAGACUGACGCUCAGGUGCGAAAGCGUGGGGAGCAAACAGGAUUAGAUACCCUUGUAGUC